This 473-nucleotide ribosomal RNA is filed under the name Nocardia sp. 15-585. RNAcentral's name for it is "bacterial SSU rRNA". It matches the Rfam family "Bacterial small subunit ribosomal RNA", at positions 20 to 510 of the family's 1533-position model. Lineage: Bacteria; Bacillati; Actinomycetota; Actinomycetes; Mycobacteriales; Nocardiaceae. The record is from RNAcentral.
UGGCUCAGGACGAACGCUGGCGGCGUGCUUAACACAUGCAAGUCGAGCGGUAAGGCCCUUCGGGGUACACGAGCGGCGAACGGGUGAGUAACACGUGGGUGAUCUGCCCUGUACUUCGGGAUAAGCCUGGGAAACUGGGUCUAAUACCGGAUAUGACCUUACAUCGCAUGGUGUUUGGUGGAAAGAUUUAUCGGUACAGGAUGGGCCCGCGGCCUAUCAGCUUGUUGGUGGGGUAAUGGCCUACCAAGGCGACGACGGGUAGCCGGCCUGAGAGGGCGACCGGCCACACUGGGACUGAGACACGGCCCAGACUCCUACGGGAGGCAGCAGUGGGGAAUAUUGCACAAUGGGCGAAAGCCUGAUGCAGCGACGCCGCGUGAGGGAUGACGGCCUUCGGGUUGUAAACCUCUUUCGACAGGGACGAAGCGCAAGUGACGGUACCUGUAGAAGAAGCACCGGCCAACUACGUGCCA